RNAcentral lists this ribosomal RNA (445 nucleotides) under uncultured bacterium. RNAcentral describes it as "partial 16S ribosomal RNA". It matches the Rfam family "Bacterial small subunit ribosomal RNA", at positions 354 to 796 of the family's 1533-position model. The record is from RNAcentral.
GUAGGGAAUAUUGGGCAAUGGAGGCAACUCUGACCCAGCCAUGCCGCGUGCAGGAUGACGGCCCUCUGGGUUGUAAACUGCUUUUAUACGGGAAGAAAAAAUACUACGUGUAGUAUACUGACGGUACCGUAAGAAUAAGGAUCGGCUAACUCCGUGCCAGCAGCCGCGGUAAUACGGAGGAUCCAAGCGUUGUCCGGAUUUAUUGGGUUUAAAGGGUGCGUAGGCGGUUCUUUAAGUCAGUGGUGAAAGCCUGCAGCUUAACUGUAGAAUUGCCAUUGAAACUGAAGAUCUUGAAUGUGGAUAAAGUAGGCGGAAUGUAUCAUGUAGCGGUGAAAUGCUUAGAUAUGAUACAGAACACCGAUAGCGAAGGCAGCUUGCUGAACCAUUAUUGACGCUGAGGCACGAAAGCGUGGGGAGCGAACAGGAUUAGAAACCCCAGUAGUCC